RNAcentral lists this ribosomal RNA (506 nucleotides) under uncultured bacterium. RNAcentral describes it as "partial 16S ribosomal RNA". It matches the Rfam family "Bacterial small subunit ribosomal RNA", at positions 29 to 523 of the family's 1533-position model. The record is from RNAcentral.
AGUGAACGCUGGCGGUAGGCCUAACACAUGCAAGUCGAACGGCAGCACAGGAGAGCUUGCUCUCUGGGUGGCGAGUGGCGGACGGGUGAGGAAUACAUCGGAAUCUACUUUUUCGUGGGGGAUAACGUAGGGAAACUUACGCUAAUACCGCAUACGACCUACGGGUGAAAGCAGGGGACCUUCGGGCCUUGCGCGAUUGAAUGAGCCGAUGUCGGAUUAGCUAGUUGGCGGGGUAAAGGCCCACCAAGGCGACGAUCCGUAGCUGGUCUGAGAGGAUGAUCAGCCACGCUGGAACUGAGACACGGUCCAGACUCCUACGGGAGGCAGCAGUGGGGAGUAUUGGACAAUGGGCGCAAGCCUGCUCCAGCCAUACCGCGUGGGUGAAGAAGGCCUUCGGGUUGUAAAGCCCUUUUGUUGGGAAAGAAAUCCAGCUGGCUAAUACCCGGUUGGGAUGACGGUACCCGAAGAAUAAGCACCGGCUAACUUCGUGCCAGCAGCCGCGGUAA